UUCGCUUCCGUUUUUAUAUUUUCCCCAUAGUUUUAUUUUCGGAUUUCUCUCGUUGCGGAAGUGGGAAAGAAUCGACAGAAGGCAGCGAGAAGAGAACACGAGAGAAGAAAAAUAGUUCUCGAGAACAAUCGGGUUUCGGUGGAUCGAUCUCGUCGUCUGUUGAAAGGGUUUCGAAAAAGAGGGGCUGCCAUGAGAUUCAAGAAGGGGAACAAGGUGGAGGUUUGGAGCCCGAGGGAGGUUCCGUCAGGCUCAUGGCGGAGUGCCGAGAUCAUCUCGGGCAAUGGGCAUUACUAUACUGUGAGAUAUGAUGGGUAUCCGAUGGACGGCAGUGUGGCAGUGGACAGAGUGCCAAGGAAAGCUAUCAGACCCUGCCCUCCACCUGCUGGAACCCUGAAGGAUUCAACAUCUGGUGAUGUUGUUGAAGUUUUCGACAACAAUUCAUGGAAGCUCGCUGAGAUAUUGGUAGUUGUUGAUAAGAAAUACUGUUCUGUUAGGCUCCUUGGAUCCUCCAGGGAGAUCAGAGCCCACAAAUCUCUCUUAAGGAGACGGCUGUCUUGGCAAGACAACAAGUGGGUGAUGAUUCAUAAGGAUUCUGGAGUACAAAAUGGUGCAAUGCUAAGCAGUCUGUCAAGAGGAGGAAAGUCCAGUUACCACUUGCCUCAGUCAUGUGUGGAGAUAGAUAAUUCUGCUGGAAAGAGCCUUUUUCCUAUUGAAAAUUAUGAUUUUCCUGAGAAAGCUAGACGAUUCCUCUCAAGAGAAACAAAGAAAAGGCCAUUUGAUAUAUAUAUUCCUGCUGAGAAGUGCAAUGAUGUUAGAAGAAAGACAAGGGCAACCGAAAAAAAUGGGAUGGAUCAAAGAAUAUCUACUGAGCACCCAAUACAUUGUCUGGAAAAGGGUCAAAGUUGGAGGCUUCUAAGCUUUGCUUCCUUAUGUCUCUGAUGAUGGAGUUGUCAUGGCUUUUUACACUUCAAACAGUGUGGCAAAACUUCCAUCUUAUUCCUAUGAAUAUGUCAGUAUAUUUGAUUAUUGGUACUUUUAUUUCUGUUAUAUCUUCCUAUUUCAGGCUUAUUUUCUGCCUGUAAUACAUGCAUGAUGCAAGGAAGUUAACCAGAAAUAUAUUAAGAAAAUCUUUACAAGUGAAACUGUUAAUUUAAGCCUUCUAUCCUAUCUAUAUUUGAUCUUUAAUAAACUUGUUGAUUCUGUGCAUAAUGCCUGUUAUUAGUAAACAUAUGUAUGUUCCAUGGCGUACUUAUAAUUGUGGUCUACUUGUUGCUGUAAUAUGGAUUACAAGCAAAACGUAGUCUAUAAAAAUAUAUCCUUGCUGCUUAUUUUACACUGGAGACUAAGCUAUGAACAUGACACGACAGUUCAUGCAAAACUUGUUUGACAUGGAAUUCCAAAAAUGUAAAAUUAAGAAUGAGGUAUCAGUUAUGUUUGUAUAGCGUCUGUGUAUUAAUUCCAACUGUUUGUUUUUUAGGUAAUGCAAAUCAUAGGUAGAAUCAUCAAUAUGCAAUUCGUGUUUGGGUAAAGUCACAGUAUGAUAUUUGAAUUAGCCACUGCUGGCAUAUUCUCAAAUAUUUUGUAUCAUCUUUGCAAGAUUAGCAUUUUGACAUGAACUAACUCGUGAUGAGAAAUGAGCAAUGUCUAAUCCUUAGUGAGAGCUGAAUUAUUAGUCUAGACUCAGUGAAUUAGAUUUAUUUACUUGAAUCUUAUUUCUUUAGUUGCCAUUUCUCUUGGAAUAGCUUUUACUCGUGGACAUCAUAUAAUCAUUGAAGUUUCUUGUUUCCCACAGUGUGUGUGUGCGGCAUGAGGCCAUCUUCAUCCCCUAAAAUGAGUUUGGAGUACUUGGAUUGGGUCCAGGAUAACCAUCGCUGUCUUGACAUGUUUUCCUCUUCCCAUUAUCCUAUUUAUUAUCUUUUCACCUUUGCAUAAUAAGCCUUAAAGCUCUGGAAACCUAUAAUACAGCCUUUUGUCUUGUUGCUAUAAUAUCUUCAACCUAGUCUUCCACGUACAUUUACCAACCAACAAGCAUUAUAUGCUUAAUAGCCUCCACAGAAGUGUUGUUAUCCAACACUUCACUCUUGCCCUUAAACAAUCAAACAAGGCCUAAAUUGUUGAACAUUAGGUGACACUCGUAUGAUAAAGUUUUCAAUCAGAGCAACCUCAUCAAUCAACUAGGGCUUUUGGAGAAGUGUUGCAUCAGUGAUAUUUCUCUAUUCACAAGCUCUAGAAAUCUUCUGAACAUUGCUUUACUUAUAUUUCCAUUGCUGAAAUUAUUUUUAUAUAUACAGAUGGAUACGUGUCUUGUCUUGCAUAGCAUGAUUGCACAAACUGGUUAUGUGAAACUGUCCUGUAUCCGGCAAAAGAAAAGGUCAAUGUUCUUAAUUAUUUUAAUACUAACCAGAAUUUCAUUUUCUUAAUUAUUUUAAUACAAACCAGAAUUUCAUUUCAAGUCAGCCGUUUAAUUGUGUAUGCAUUAUUUUAAUUUAUGAAUAUUAUAUAUUUUCAUAAUCUGCAUUUUACUACUUUGAUUUUACUUUUCUCUAAACAAUUGGUUACAUAUGGUUGAAGAGUAACAUGAACAGAUAGGUGGUGAGCUUCCAACAAGUCUGCUUCUGGGAAAAACAGUCAUGAAUUUUGUAAUGGAUUAAGUCUUAUCAAAUAAUAUUUUUCUUCAAAUGACAUGCAAGUUCUUUCCACCUCUGCAUUCUUGCAAUAGUUAGCAUAAAGGAAAUUCAAUAGUUAUUAUUUUCAGCAGUUUAUAUGUUGAAACACUAUUUUCUGAAUUAAUUCUGGAACUAUUGUUUGCUUAUUCUAAUUAUUAUUAUUUUGAGGCCUCUUUGUCAACUAGGUAUCAUAGACUUUGUUGCUUCAAUUAGGGAAGAUAUCAUAAAAUGAGUUAGCCACAAACCGGGAGCAUGAUGGUGAUUGUUGGAAUCAUGCAUUUGCUGCUGGGUUGAUCAUGCAUUUGUUGCUGGGUUGAUCAACUGUUGUAGGUAUGGACUGUCGACCUAGAUUAGGAACCAAAUCAUGAGUAAUUUAUAAAUAAUGCAUCAUGGAGUAUAUACAUACACCAAAAUGAAGAUGACUGAUCUCCACUAGACAAGUUGUUCUUGUAGCUACCUUAGUGGUAUAACCCAUUCUUACAGAUCCUGAUUUAAAUGUUUUUCAUGCUGACUUUUGUUAAUUUGAUUUGCUGUAACCAAUAGUAACUAGUUAAGAAUGUCUGCAGUUACUCAGAGAAUGCUCUUAUGACCAUUUCCAUUGCAGAGCCUGAUAUAAUUGUGCACAUAUAAUGCUAAAGUCUUUCAUUAUGGUCUGAUAACAAGGCAGUUUUUUAUGUUAACAUAUAGUAACUUGCAAGAUUAAGGAUCAUCUGCAGGUGCUCAGAACGCUGGGAGUACGCUCUAAUGCCUGAAGUUUGAAGGAAUCUGAUUUGAUUUUUGACAUAUGACAUAAAGAUGUUAUAGCAAGCACGAGGUGAACUAGUGUUGCGAUCAUGGAAAAUUGUAAUCUGCAGACCAAAAAAUUUCGACAUGCUAGUUGCUGGAGCAAAUAUGUUUGGAGUUGCACUAGCACUUGAUGGCUUCUUCUACUUGCCAAUAUCAAAUAUGGUUUAUGAUCAAAUCUGAGUAGCCCUAGUUAUAAAAGCUCUAGAUGUGAAGUAUUAUUGAGUUCCUGUAGAAACCUGUUUGUAUCCAUGGGAAGUGUGCAUACAUCUAUUUCAUCCUUUUGUAGUAGACUUGAACUCUGUGGUCGAUCUAAAUCUGUGAGCUUCCAUGGAUGUGCAAUUGUAAAGGACUUCUCGGGCAUGGGAACUGCAUCUCAAAAUGAUGAAUAGUAGCUAUCUAAAUUUGUACUGUUUCUAGGUCACUGCAGUGUUCUAUGUUCUGAUUCCAGGAAUUCCAAUAUGAUUCAGGACAGUGAUGUGUUGUGGCUUU
Musa acuminata AAA Group (dessert banana) is the source of this 3941-nucleotide RNA transcript. RefSeq lists it as uncharacterized. NCBI's taxonomy places the organism in Eukaryota, Viridiplantae, Streptophyta, Magnoliopsida, Zingiberales, Musaceae. The transcript has 5 exons. The record is from RefSeq and is a predicted model, not a curated record.